RNAcentral lists this long non-coding RNA (246 nucleotides) under Helianthus annuus (common sunflower). RNAcentral describes it as "hypothetical non coding rna". The record is from RNAcentral. Lineage: Eukaryota; Viridiplantae; Streptophyta; Magnoliopsida; Asterales; Asteraceae.
UUUCCUUUUAACAAUUCUCCGCAGAAACCCUAAUGGACGCCACCAUCAUCUCUCUCACCCCUCUUCUGAGAAACCCUAAUGGACGAAUCCAUCAUCUCUUUCACUAUUUCCCCAGGAAUGGAAGAGGGCGGUAGUGCUGUCGCUUAAGCAUUGCAUCUCUCAAACGAUUUGUGGUUGCAGGGGAAACAUGAACAAAGGCUCCGAUAAAGUUGCGGUUCAUAACAAUAGCUGGUAAAGAUGUGGUGU